RNAcentral lists this non-coding RNA (65 nucleotides) under unclassified sequences. The record is from RNAcentral.
CGAAAAUAGAGUAGCAGGGUGGUGUCUCCUGCGCUGACCAAAUGGUCGGUUCUACUUCGACCACG